Molecule: long non-coding RNA, 3300 nt
Organism: Cercocebus atys (sooty mangabey)
Lineage: Eukaryota; Metazoa; Chordata; Mammalia; Primates; Cercopithecidae
Exons: 2
Source: RefSeq, a predicted model, not a curated record
AUAACUGUUUUUUCAAAGGCAGAAGGCACAACAUCUACUGAAGAGAAUAGAAGUUUCUGGUUUCGGUUGAGGGGUUUUUGGUGGUUUUGGCCCUGACCUGACCUUUCUCAGUCUUUAACCCCUGUGCUGCCUGGUAGGCAGUUUUCUGUCUAUGUAAGAGAUGCAUAUUCAGUUGUUCAGUCAACACAUACAGUUCAUACCAAGUAGAUUCUUAAGGCUGUUUGGGCUCUGAGAACAUGGGAGUGCGACAGGGUGUGUGUGAAUGGAAGAUAGACAGGAAGGAAGGAUAGAGUUCUUAGAACUCCAGAGGCACAAGGAAUUUGUUCUGCAUGGAAGGGCUACUUCAGUGUGACCUUGUAGAAUCAGAGGUAUUUGGAUAGGUGGAAAUAAACCAUGAACAUAAAGGCAUACCAGGGAGAGGCAAAGGCCAAAAUCUAGUGUGUGGAAAGCAGGUAAUGAGCAGAUCAGUUUUGCUGGGAUGCAUGUUCUUCAGGGAGUGUUGUGGAGGAUUCAGAUGGGAACAGUGGUUGUGCUGGAUGAUGAAAGGCCUGGGUAAUUGACUAGGUUGAAACCUAUUCCAAAGCAAGUGAAAUAAAUACAAAAAUUGACCAAUAUGAAAACAGGAUUCAAGCUGAAGUAUGAUCUCAUGGAACGCUUGACUUUCCCCAGUCCUCAAAGUCAAGCAGUGACUACUUCAGCACGGCGUUUGUCAAAUUGCAGGGCAUCACUUAUUAGAGAGUUUUACAAUUGAUUCAGUGGGUUGAGCCCAUUUCAUUUUAGAUGAAAAAAAAAAAAACUACAAAGUAGAUAAUAUCAUCUGUCACACUAAUAAGGAUAGAUACUAUUUAGAGAAACUUCCAUUUGCUAUAUAUAUACACACACACACACAUACACACACACACACGUGUGUGUGUGCUAAGUUGUGUAAAGUCUUCUUACUGUACUUUUGGUGUAAAAAAGUCUGUAGACUACUGCUUAUGGUGGCAUGAGGGAGCAGCUUUUACCUUAGAACAUUUGCGUCUUUCUAGAUGACUGUCUCUGGUUCUUCUUCCAAUGUCAAUGGCUGUCACUUGUUUCAGCUCCACCCACUUGACUGCUUUGUGCUUUAGCUGGCCCCUUCUGUGUUACCCAACUCUUGGAUCCCAUGGUGGUCUGUACUAGCAGCACAUGUUUUUAUUUUUCCAGAUUUCCUUUUGCUGUUUGUGGGCUUUUUCUUAACCCGGAACCAUCUCUUUAGCUCUAUUCAAAGGCAUCCUAAACUGAAGGUUCUUGCCACAGUUGAUCCUGAUGUAUAUUAUUUUGAAUAGAGACUCUUAUCACUUCUUUUCUGUCAGUGUUUUUCAUUGCAUUUUUGUAUGUUUUUUGAUCUGAAGUACAUUUAGAGGUUUCAGAUUACUAGUUAGUUCUUAAUGUUUUCUUUCUUGAUGGUUAGUCACCCUUGUAAUUUUAUGAGCGGGAUAAAGCUGCAGACUUCUUAAAAUAUGGGUUAAAAAUAAAAAGGAAGAUAUCUAAAGUUGUUUUUAGGAUUAAAAAAAUAAAUUGUAUUAUAUACUGAGAAAUAAAAGUUGAGAUUUGUCUAGCAGGUUAGAAAUUUGCAGGCAGAUUGACUGUGACAUUUUAAAUUCAGAAGUAUAUUUGUUUUGAAAUAAUAUACAUAUAAGUGUUUAGAAGCCAGGUAAGCCAGUCCAUUUCACCAGAAAUGGAAGAAGGAAAAAUAGAAAACAGCCAAAUGGUGAAUGGAGCCAGACUGCCAAGCUCUAACUUGAGGAGAUGAAGUGAGAUCUGUUUUGCAAACACAGCCUACUCAUGGUAUAAUUCUUUUUCUGGAAUUCUCAGUAUUUUAGGUUUUUUUUUUUAAAUACUCAUUGUUAAUUAUUUUUUGAAGCUGUAUUGAUUUAUACUUACCGUUAUUUAUUUCAUAAGAUACCCUGAUAUUUCUUAGCCACAGACUAACAGUUUCUGAAGGCCAGUUUCUUAAGACCCAGUGUGUGGAAAUCUCUGUUCUGCCAGUAAGAAGGAGCAUUGGUUGUUGGGCAGUUAGAACUUUCCCCAUAGUUUCUUCUGGAGGAAAUUUAUAUAUGCUUAAGGUUCUCUUAUUUAUAAAUAGAAAAAACUUUUGUUGUUGGACUCUAAGGCAGAUAUCAAGCAGAUCAAGCGCCGUCUGAGGAGGUCUUCUGGAGAAAACAGUGGGCAGUGAGUGUGGCUGAUGAGUCAUCCUGGGGCAGACAGAACAGUGCCCCUGCGGAGUGUCUCAUUGUUGACUGAUAGCUGCCCAGUCACUGCUGCCUACUUGGACCUUUGUUCAUUGUACCCCAUGCAAUACUUUCACUGAAACUUUACGUUUAAAUUAUUCCUUCAGUUUGUAUUGAGGAUCUUAUAAGAAACAGUUGUGUGAAAUUUCUUACUUUAUUUUAUGCAUUGCUAUCAUAUGAGUGUAUUAUCUAUGACCCAGUAAAUAAAUAACCAGUAAAAAAAUACUUUUUUAUAUGUAAAAUGUUAUGACUAUGGAAUCGUGUAAAAUCUUUAUAUACAUUUUUAAAGAUGAGUAAAAUGAAUACUUAUGUACCCAUGACACAGAUUAAAAAAAUAAAUAAAUUAUCAGAGCUUUCAUACUCUUAGCAUUCCUUCUUAAUGCAUUCUCUUUCCUUCCCUCAACCCUCAGAGGAAAUGGCAUCCUAACUUUUGGACCAAUGUUUUCCUUGUUUUUCUUUAUGAUUGUGCCACUCAUGUGCAUAUCCUUAAAUAAGGUGUAUUUAGUUUUGAAAACCUGAGUAUCAAGCACAAACCUAGCUGCUUAAAGGAGAGGACACUAUUGCCAUUGUUAGAUGAAAGUUCCCAGAAGAAGAGAGUUUCUGAGUCAUGGUCUUUAGGUUCCCUGAGGGAACUUUCUGAGGCCCUCAGGAGCUCAGCUGAGCUAUGGGAGGGAGCUGAGCUGUCAGGUAUGGGAGUGGCUGGUUAAAGGGACAGGCCAAAAGUGAGAGUUAAGCCUUUAAUCAUUUACUGUAAUGGUGUAAGUAGGAUGUGAGGACCAGGAUAUCUCACCCUCAUCAAAAGGGAGCAAAAGGCUCCUGCAGUUUGUGGUUCUUGAGGUGGUGGGGCAAAGGAGAAGGGCUCAGAGCCAAAGAGAGCAGAGUCUGAGUCAGAGUGGGGAACAGCCACUUUAAGGAGCCCCUCUCCACCAGGCCUCAGCAGAGAAUGGGACCAGGAAAUAAAGGUGCGUGGGCUAGGAAGGCAAAUAUAAGAAGAGGUUUAUCUCUCAGAAGUGGCUGAGUCGUUGACUGCAACUCCCCUGAGAGAAUA